RNAcentral lists this ribosomal RNA (591 nucleotides) under Peziza sp. 4 SE-2015. RNAcentral's name for it is "eukaryotic LSU rRNA". The stretch from base 211 to 364 matches the Rfam family "5.8S ribosomal RNA". The record is from RNAcentral. Lineage: Eukaryota; Fungi; Ascomycota; Pezizomycetes; Pezizales; Pezizaceae.
GACCUGCGGAAGGAUCAUUAUUGAAAAACUUCUCAAGUUUUUAAUAUCCUAUUGUCUACCUACCAUGUUGCUUCCACUGGACGUGUUUUACCUUGUGUAAGACCUUUGGCUUGUGUGAAUAACCCAAGUCAGGGAGUUGCCAGUGGCAAGACCAUCUACCAAAACUUGAUCAAAAUACUACUGUCUGAAUCUUUUGCUUCAAUGAAAUAAAACUUUCAACAACGGAUCUCUAGGCUCUUGCAUCGAUGAAGAACGCAGUGAAAUGCGAUAAGUAAUGUGAAUUGCAGAAUCUCGUGAAUCAUCGAAUCUUUGAACGCACAUUGCGCCCUAUGGUAUUCCGUAGGGCAUGCCUGUCUGAGCGUCAGCUCCCCCCCACUCAAGUAUCUUUACUUUUUUGAUUCUUGGAAUGAUUUGGAGAGGUGCCUUGUCAUGUAGACGCCCUCCAGAAAUUCAUAGGCAGUAUGGUUUGCACCUGAACCAGACGUAAUAAUAAUAAAAUCGUUUGUUUGGGUAUGAUUGUACUUGCCUUAACCCACCCAUUUCUUUGUUUGGGUGACCUCAGAUCAGGUAGGGAUACCCGCUGAACUUAAG